UGCCUGUUCAGGGGGCAGAACGACAGAUUUGUACCUUGUCAGCUCGGGGGUUUGAACUUGCAACCUUCCGGUUACUAGUCCAACAUUCUAACCACUAGGCUACCCUGUCUCUUACCCUUUUCAGAUGUGGCUCUGAAGAGAUUACGUGAUGGCUCAUAUCGCUGGUGAACUGACCACUGAAUUGGGUAGAACACUUCAACAUGUGACCCUGCAGAAGGAGGGUAAAACACAUGUGGUUAGCUAUGUUGGUGAGACAAAGAGAAUAUGUGGUUUCAACAGCAGAACAUAUCGAGACGAAAGUUUGGAGAUAUAGGUAUGUAGCUUUUUUAUUACAGUUUUUCUCAAAUGCUAAAACACAAUUUCUGAAACGUUGCUCCAUUUCCUGAAAACAUUAAACACAAAACCUCAUCUUCAAGUAUUAUUUACAUAACCACUGACUCCUCUUGUAAAAUGAAACAUUCGUACCCUGCAUCUCACAAACUUGUCCUUUGUCUCUGUGAUACUGUAAUUCUUGUUCUUUGUUGAUAUGAACCUGCAACCAGUCAAAAUCUAUUGAGCAGUCGGUACUGUUAUUAAAUGGAAAGCACAAUGUUCAGGGCCAUACAAUUCAUCCAUUGUACAUAUACAGUCUACAAUGCACUGUACUACAGUAUCCAUUCUCAGACGUUCUCCUUCCCACCUUCAACAACCUGUUUGCUCUCUGAACUGGCUUAUAUUGGUUGUGUCACAUCAUUUGAAACAGGUGAAAUCAAUGUUGAGUGGUUGUGUUCAAUCAAUGACAUGUGUUCUCUAUUUGUAUUUGAUUGUUGCCACUUGUGUUUACCAGUAUGGAUGACAUGUGCAUUAGAGUGCAGAAUGUGUUUAGAGUUUUGCUGAAAAGUCAAAGUGAGAUCUGCAAAUGGUGUUUUAUCAUGUGAAAUGGUUGAAGGUAUUAACAGACUGCAUAAUUAGCUAAAUGAGUCCAGGCAACUGAGAACUUUGUUCAGCCAAAUGGGUUUUUAGUGUUUUAGCAAUUGAGAAAAACUGUAAGUUCGUUAAACAUAGAUUUUCAAACGUUAUUUAUUUCGUUUUUAUGUUUAGAUCUGGGUCUGAAACCUUGUAACCUUGCAUUCAGCUACUUUAUUACUUGAAAAUCAUUUUUUAGGAGUCCUUUCCAACAAAGACAGAUACCUCAUUAAUCUUUACCUCUCUCUCUCUCUC
Molecule: long non-coding RNA, 1200 nt
Organism: Oncorhynchus tshawytscha (Chinook salmon)
Lineage: Eukaryota; Metazoa; Chordata; Actinopteri; Salmoniformes; Salmonidae
Source: Ensembl